This is a long non-coding RNA of Anguilla rostrata (American eel), 431 nucleotides long. RefSeq lists it as uncharacterized. Lineage: Eukaryota; Metazoa; Chordata; Actinopteri; Anguilliformes; Anguillidae. The transcript is spliced from 3 exons. The record is from RefSeq and is a predicted model, not a curated record.
CAAGGUAGAUGGAGCCGGUUGAUUGCUCACAGCUGGAGCGGAUAUUCUGUUCUUACUGAGGCCUGAGUUGUACGAGUAGUGGUAUGUGUCUACAUGCAGUCAAAAACAUCAUAAGCAUCAACUUGAUCUAUCAAUUUAGACUCCUGUGUGAUGCUGGAACAAAGAUGCUGACACACAACAGUCUCUUAAAUUAAAUCCCUUUUCCUGGAGAUCUCAGCCAAUCAGAGGGAAGCUGUGGAUAAUCCUGCUUCAAGCUGCACAAACACUCUCCCAUUCCAGAAAAUGCACAAAUGCCCUUCUGUGUAUAAGAUUUGAAUGUAAAUGCACUUCAUUUGCAUGAGAAAAGCGGCUGUGAUGGUGAAGAACUCGUUCAGCGUGGAGUAGAAACACAGAUUAUCACCCCUCGCCCACGGUAAGAAGCAAAACACAGU